GGGGAUACACUUAGAGUCCCCAGUACAGGAGUGUUAAUAGCGGUGUCUUUGGCCGGGCACGGUGGUUAGUGAAUC
The submitters of this non-coding RNA (75 nucleotides) gave its source as unclassified sequences. The record is from Rfam.